GGGGCCGUAGCUCAGCCAGGCAGAGCGGCGGGCUCCAGACCCGUAGGUCGGGGGUUCAAAUCCCUCCGGCCCCACCA
Molecule: transfer RNA, 77 nt
Filed under: Pyrobaculum organotrophum
Lineage: Archaea; Thermoproteati; Thermoproteota; Thermoprotei; Thermoproteales; Thermoproteaceae
Also listed under: 1 other name
Description: tRNA-Trp
Rfam family: tRNA
About the family: Transfer RNA (tRNA) molecules are approximately 80 nucleotides in length. Their secondary structure includes four short double-helical elements and three loops (D, anti-codon, and T loops).
Source: RNAcentral